Molecule: unclassified non-coding RNA, 253 nt
Filed under: uncultured fungus
Lineage: Eukaryota; Fungi
Description: partial contains 5.8S ribosomal RNA, internal transcribed spacer 2, and large subunit ribosomal RNA
Source: RNAcentral
AACGCACAUUGCGCCCGCCAGCACUCUGGCGGGCAUGCCUGUUCGAGCGUCAUUUCAACCCUCAGCGCCCCCCCGCGGGCGCUGGCGUUGGGGAUUGGCAGCCAGCCAGCCCCUAAAUCUAGUGGCGGUCCCUCCGCGACCUCCCCUGUGCAGUAGCGAUACCUCGCAGCGGGACAGCGGUCUGACCACGCCGUAAAACCCCGUACUUCUCAAGGUUGACCUCGGAUCAGGUAGGACUACCCGCUGAACUUAA